GGUCAAGCGAAUAAGCGCACACGGUGGAUGCCUUGGCGGUCAGAGGCGAUGAAGGACGUGGCAGCCUGCGAAAAGUAUCGGGGAGCUGGCAACAAGCUUUGAUCCGGUAAUGUCCGAAUGGGGAAACCCACCCGCUUGCGGGUAUCCUGCAGUGAAUACAUAGCUGCUGGAAGCGAACCUGGUGAACUGAAAUAUCUAAGUAACCAGAGGAAAAGAAAUCAACCGAGAUUCCGUAAGUAGCGACGAGCGAACGCGGACUAGCCCUUAAGCUGGAUUGGUUCUAGGAAAACGCUCUGGAAAGAGCGGCCAUAGAAGGUGAUAGCCCUGUAUCUGAAAGGGCCAUUCCAGUGAAGACGAGUAGGGCGGGGCACGUGAAACCCUGUCUGAACAUGGGGGGACCAUCCUCCAAGGCUAAAUACUACUGACCGACCGAUAGUGAACCAGUACCGUGAGGGAAAGGCGAAAAGAACCCCGGAGAGGGGAGUGAAAUAGAACCUGAAACCGUGUGCGUACAAGCAGUAGGAGCUCCGCAAGGAGUGACUGCGUACCUUUUGUAUAAUGGGUCAGCGACUUACUGUUCGUGGCAAGCUUAACCGUAUAGGGGAGGCGAAGGGAAACCGAGUCUGAUAAGGGCGCAUAGUCGCGGGCAGUAGACCCGAAACCGGGUGAUCUAGUCAUGCCCAGGGUGAAGGUGCGGUAACACGCACUGGAGGCCCGAACCCACUCCCGUUGCAAAGGUAGGGGAUGAGGUGUGAUUAGGAGUGAAAAGCUAAUCGAACCCGGAGAUAGCUGGUUCUCCUCGAAAGCUAUUUAGGUAGCGCCUCAUAUGUAUCCUCUCGGGGGUAGAGCACUGUUAUGGCUAGGGGGUCAUCGCGACUUACCAAACCAUUGCAAACUCCGAAUACCGAGACGGACUGUAUGGGAGACACACGGCGGGUGCUAACGUCCGUCGUGAAAAGGGAAACAACCCAGACCCACAGCUAAGGUCCCAAAUUCACUGCUAAGUGGAAAACCAUGUGGAAAGGCACAGACAGCCAGGAGGUUGGCUUAGAAGCAGCCACCCUUUAAAGAAAGCGUAAUAGCUCACUGGUCGAGUCGGUCUGCGGGGAAGAUUUAACGGGGCUAAGCAGUGAACCGAAGCUUGGGGUGCAUACUUUGUAUGCGCGGUAGAGGAGCGUUCCGUAAGCCGUUGAAGGUGGAUUGAGAAGUCUGCUGGAGGUAUCGGAAGUGCGAAUGCUGACAUGAGUAACGAUAAUGCGGGUGAAAAACCCGCACGCCGAAAGCCCAAGGUUUCCUUGCGCAACGUUAAUCGGCGCAGGGUGAGUCGGCCCCUAAGGCGAGGACGAAAGUCGUAGUCGAUGGGAAGCAGGUUAAUAUUCCUGCACCUCGCGUAAGUGCGAUGGAGGGACGGAGAAGGUUAGGUGUACCAGGCGUUGGUUGUCCUGGGGAAAGGCGGUAGGUUUGGAUCUUUGGCAAAUCCGGGAUCCUUUAAGACCGAGCACCGAGACGAGCCUUUAUGGCGAAGUCACUGAUACCACGCUUCCAGGAAAAGCUCCUAAGCUUCAGCUUACGCAGACCGUACCGUAAACCGACACAGGUGGGUAGGAUGAGAAUUCUCAGGCGCUUGAGAGAACUCGGGUGAAGGAACUAGGCAACAUGGCACCGUAACUUCGGGAGAAGGUGCACCCUUUUUGGUGGCUCGUGCGAGCUAUAGCUGAAGAGGGUCGCAGUAACCAGGCCGCUGCGACUGUUUAUCAAAAACACAGCACUCUGCAAACACGAAAGUGGACGUAUAGGGUGUGACGCCUGCCCGGUGCUGGAAGGUUAAUUGAUGGGGUCAGCCGCAAGGCGAAGCUCUUGAUCGAAGCCCCAGUAAACGGCGGCCGUAACUAUAACGGUCCUAAGGUAGCGAAAUUCCUUGUCGGGUAAGUUCCGACCUGCACGAAUGGCGUAACGACAGCGGCGCUGUCUCCACCCGAGACUCAGUGAAAUUGAAAUCGCUGUGAAGAUGCAGCGUUCCUGUGGCAAGACGGAAAGACCCCGUGAACCUUUACUAUAGCUUUACACUGAACGUUGAGUUCGUCUGUGUAGGAUAGGUGGGAGGCUAUGAAACCAUGGCGCUAGCUGUGGUGGAGCCAUCCUUGAAAUACCACCCUGUCGUGCUUGACGUUCUAACCUGGGCCCAUUAUCUGGGUCGGGGACCGUGUAUGGUGGGUAGUUUGACUGGGGCGGUCUCCUCCUAAAGAGUAACGGAGGAGCUCGAAGGUACGCUCAGCGCGGUCGGACAUCGCGCACUGUGUGCAAAGGCAUAAGCGUGCUUGACUGCAAGAUCGACGGAUCAAGCAGGUAGGAAACUAGGACUUAGUGAUCCGGUGGUUCUGUAUGGAAGGGCCAUCGCUCAACGGAUAAAAGGUACUCCGGGGAUAACAGGCUGAUACCGCCCAAGAGUUCAUAUCGACGGCGGUGUUUGGCACCUCGAUGUCGGCUCAUCACAUCCUGGGGCUGUAGUCGGUCCCAAGGGUAUGGCUGUUCGCCAUUUAAAGUGGUACGCGAGCUGGGUUCAGAACGUCGUGAGACAGUUCGGUCCCUAUCUGCCAUGGGCGUUGGAGAUUUGAGAGGGGCUGCUCCUAGUACGAGAGGACCGGAGUGGACGAACCUCUGGUGUUCCGGUUGUCACGCCAGUGGCAUUGCCGGGUAGCUAUGUUCGGAAGCGAUAACCGCUGAAAGCAUCUAAGCGGGAAGCGCGCCUCAAGAUGAGAUCUCCCGGGGCACAAGCCCCCUGAAGGAACCAUGUAGACUACGUGGUUGAUAGGUCAGGUGUGUAAGUACAGCAAUGUAUUGAGCUAACUGAUACUAAUGAUCCGUGCGGCUUGACCAU
Molecule: ribosomal RNA, 2878 nt
Filed under: Stenotrophomonas maltophilia
Lineage: Bacteria; Pseudomonadati; Pseudomonadota; Gammaproteobacteria; Lysobacterales; Lysobacteraceae
Description: 23S ribosomal RNA
Rfam family: Bacterial large subunit ribosomal RNA
Source: RNAcentral